GCCUGGGUGGCUCAGUCGGUUGAGCAUCCGACUUCAGCUCAGGUCACGAUCUCGCGGUCCGUGGGUUUGAGCCCCGCGUCGGGCU
This 85-nucleotide transfer RNA is filed under the name Felis catus (domestic cat). It matches the Rfam family "tRNA". From Rfam's summary of the family: Transfer RNA (tRNA) molecules are approximately 80 nucleotides in length. Their secondary structure includes four short double-helical elements and three loops (D, anti-codon, and T loops). Lineage: Eukaryota; Metazoa; Chordata; Mammalia; Carnivora; Felidae. The record is from Rfam by way of RNAcentral.